CAACUUUAUCUCGUUAUAGGUUUUAUCCAUACAUUGUCCAUCGAGUGAUGGUAAUAAAACAGGAUUCGAGAUGGACUAUCUGUUGACGUGCUGGUUUUAUCCAUAGAUUGUCCAUCGGGUGAUGGUAAUAAAACAGGAUUCGAGUUGGACUAUCUGUUGACGUGCUGGUUUUAUCCAUAGAUUAUCCAUCGAGUGAUGGUAAUAAAACAGGAUUCGAGUUGGACUAUCUGUUGACGUGCUGG
Anopheles coustani is the source of this 242-nucleotide long non-coding RNA. RefSeq lists it as uncharacterized. The record is from RefSeq and is a predicted model, not a curated record. Lineage: Eukaryota; Metazoa; Arthropoda; Insecta; Diptera; Culicidae. The transcript is spliced from 3 exons.